This 207-nucleotide unclassified non-coding RNA is filed under the name uncultured fungus. RNAcentral's name for it is "partial contains 5.8S ribosomal RNA, internal transcribed spacer 2, and large subunit ribosomal RNA". Lineage: Eukaryota; Fungi. The record is from RNAcentral.
AACGCACAUUGCGCCUCCCUUUGCCGGGAGGCAUGCCUGUCUGAGCGUCAUUUAACUCAUACCUUUUUGGUGUGUUGGGCCUCGCCCUAGCGGCGUAGCCUCAAAGUCAUUGGUCUAAGAGCGGACAAGAUCCAUUGGGACCGACCGUUUGGGACCGUAAACAUCUGACUUGACCUCAGAUCAGGUAGGGCUACCGCCUGAACUUAA